GUGCCACAGGCCUCUCCUGCCUCAUGCUCUCUGCCAGAUUCAUAGAGCAAACUCUGUGUGCAGAUGGCAAACCCCAGGCAGACGUGGUACAGAAGGACAAAGAUCAACAAAAUAAAAUAGCAGAGUUUCCACAGCAGAAGCUCUGGUCCUGGCCAUGUCAUCGUGUUCCUGUGUCCCCUGCAUGUUCCCCACCCUCCUACCCCUCCUUUUGUGUGGACUUCAUUACAAUCAAUUUUAAAUGAAACCUGAAAGAACAAAAAAAAAAAAGAGCUGGGAUAUUCAUCUUCACCUGCCCUUGAGCUUCAGAACUCCAGGUCCUUUGGCCUCUGGACUCUGGACUGCAACAGUGGACGCACAGUUCUCAGAUCACUGACUCGAGACAGAGAACAAGGAACACCAUCAUCUCCCCUUGUUCGUGGGCAUGCAGACUUGACUAAGCAUGCCACUGCACCCCUGGUUCUGUAGUUGUAGACAGCCUAUCGUGGGGCUCUCAGCCUUCACCAUCAUGUGAGCAG
Molecule: long non-coding RNA, 515 nt
Organism: Nycticebus coucang (slow loris)
Lineage: Eukaryota; Metazoa; Chordata; Mammalia; Primates; Lorisidae
Exons: 3
Source: RefSeq, a predicted model, not a curated record